Non-coding RNA from Mycotypha africana, 73 nucleotides. NCBI's taxonomy places the organism in Eukaryota, Fungi, Mucoromycota, Mucoromycetes, Mucorales, Mycotyphaceae. The record is from the annotation of a RefSeq genome assembly.
GUCUCUGUGGCUCAGUUGGCAGAGCGUCAGUCUCAUAAUCUGAAGGUCGCGAGUUCGAGCCUCGCCGGAGGCA